RNAcentral lists this ribosomal RNA (730 nucleotides) under uncultured eukaryote. RNAcentral describes it as "bacterial SSU rRNA". It matches the Rfam family "Eukaryotic small subunit ribosomal RNA", at positions 680 to 1426 of the family's 1831-position model. The record is from RNAcentral.
UUUCCGCGCCGGAUUCUCUUGGCGCGGCCAUCCGUCUGCGAACUGUUGCGGCCUUCACUGGCUUGCUUCAGGGAGCAGACCUUUUACUUUGAAAAAAUUAGAGUGUUUAAGGCAGGCUCCGCGCCUGAAUACAUUAGCAUGGAAUAAUGGAAUAAGACACUUGUCCGUUUGAUUGGUUUGCGGACUGGUGUAAUGAUUAAUAGGGACAGUUGGGGGCAUUAGUAUUUAAUUGUCAGAGGUGAAAUUCUUGGAUUUAUUAAAGACUAACUUAGGCGAAAGCAUUUGUCAAGGAUGUUUUCAUUAAUCAAGAACGAAAGUUAGGGGAUCAAAGACGAUCAGAUACCGUCCUAGUCUUAACUAUAAACUAUGCCGACUCGGUUUCGGCCGGGUAACACAAAAUCCCGGUCGGCGCCGUAUGAGAAAUCAAAGUCUUUGGGUUUUGGGGGGAGUAUGGUCGCAAGGCUGAAACUUAAAGGAAUUGACGGAAGGGCACCACCAGGUGUGGAGCCUGCGGCUUAAUUUGACUCAACACGGGGAAACUUACCAGGUCAAAACAUGGGUGGGAUUGACAGAUUGAGAGCUCUUUCUUGAUUCUAUGGGUGGUGGUGCAUGGCCGUUCUUAGUUGGUGGAGUGAUUUGUCUGCUUAAUUGCGUUAACGAACGAGACCUCAACCUGCUUACUAGACGCGUGCUGUACAGAAGCGCGCGCUCUUUUUAGAGGGACUAUGCG